This 2063-nucleotide ribosomal RNA is filed under the name Escherichia coli. Its description in RNAcentral is "bacterial LSU rRNA". It matches the Rfam family "Bacterial large subunit ribosomal RNA", at positions 887 to 2925 of the family's 2925-position model. Lineage: Bacteria; Pseudomonadati; Pseudomonadota; Gammaproteobacteria; Enterobacterales; Enterobacteriaceae. The record is from RNAcentral.
GAAUUCAUCUCCGGGGGUAGAGCACUGUUUCGGCAAGGGGGUCAUCCCGACUUACCAACCCGAUGCAAACUGCGAAUACCGGAGAAUGUUAUCACGGGAGACACACGGCGGGUGCUAACGUCCGUCGUGAAGAGGGAAACAACCCAGACCGCCAGCUAAGGUCCCAAAGUCAUGGUUAAGUGGGAAACGAUGUGGGAAGGCCCAGACAGCCAGGAUGUUGGCUUAGAAGCAGCCAUCAUUUAAAGAAAGCGUAAUAGCUCACUGGUCGAGUCGGCCUGCGCGGAAGAUGUAACGGGGCUAAACCAUGCACCGAAGCUGCGGCAGCGACACUAUGUGUUGUUGGGUAGGGGAGCGUUCUGUAAGCCUGUGAAGGUGUGCUGUGAGGCAUGCUGGAGGUAUCAGAAGUGCGAAUGCUGACAUAAGUAACGAUAAAGCGGGUGAAAAGCCCGCUCGCCGGAAGACCAAGGGUUCCUGUCCAACGUUAAUCGGGGCAGGGUGAGUCGACCCCUAAGGCGAGGCCGAAAGGCGUAGUCGAUGGGAAACAGGUUAAUAUUCCUGUACUUGGUGUUACUGCGAAGGGGGGACGGAGAAGGCUAUGUUGGCCGGGCGACGGUUGUCCCGGUUUAAGCGUGUAGGCUGGUUUUCCAGGCAAAUCCGGAAAAUCAAGGCUGAGGCGUGAUGACGAGSSACUACGGUGCUGAAGCAACAAAUGCCCUGCUUCCAGGAAAAGCCUCUAAGCAUCAGGUAACAUCAAAUCGUACCCCAAACCGACACAGGUGGUCAGGUAGAGAAUACCAAGGCGCUUGAGAGAACUCGGGUGAAGGAACUAGGCAAAAUGGUGCCGUAACUUCGGGAGAAGGCACGCUGAUAUGUAGGUGAAGCGACUUGCUCGUGGAGCUGAAAUCAGUCGAAGAUACCAGCUGGCUGCAACUGUUUAUUAAAAACACAGCACUGUGCAAACACGAAAGUGGACGUAUACGGUGUGACGCCUGCCCGGUGCCGGAAGGUUAAUUGAUGGGGUUAGCCGCAAGGCGAAGCUCUUGAUCGAAGCCCCGGUAAACGGCGGCCGUAACUAUAACGGUCCUAAGGUAGCGAAAUUCCUUGUCGGGUAAGUUCCGACCUGCACGAAUGGCGUAAUGAUGGCCAGGCUGUCUCCACCCGAGACUCAGUGAAAUUGAACUCGCUGUGAAGAUGCAGUGUACCCGCGGCAAGACGGAAAGACCCCGUGAACCUUUACUAUAGCUUGACACUGAACAUUGAGCCUUGAUGUGUAGGAUAGGUGGGAGGCUUUGAAGUGUGGACGCCAGUCUGCAUGGAGCCGACCUUGAAAUACCACCCUUUAAUGUUUGAUGUUCUAACGUUGACCCGUAAUCCGGGUUGCGGACAGUGUCUGGUGGGUAGUUUGACUGGGGCGGUCUCCUCCUAAAGAGUAACGGAGGAGCACGAAGGUUGGCUAAUCCUGGUCGGACAUCAGGAGGUUAGUGCAAUGGCAUAAGCCAGCUUGACUGCGAGCGUGACGGCGCGAGCAGGUGCGAAAGCAGGUCAUAGUGAUCCGGUGGUUCUGAAUGGAAGGGCCAUCGCUCAACGGAUAAAAGGUACUCCGGGGAUAACAGGCUGAUACCGCCCAAGAGUUCAUAUCGACGGCGGUGUUUGGCACCUCGAUGUCGGCUCAUCACAUCCUGGGGCUGAAGUAGGUCCCAAGGGUAUGGCUGUUCGCCAUUUAAAGUGGUACGCGAGCUGGGUUUAGAACGUCGUGAGACAGUUCGGUCCCUAUCUGCCGUGGGCGCUGGAGAACUGAGGGGGGCUGCUCCUAGUACGAGAGGACCGGAGUGGACGCAUCACUGGUGUUCGGGUUGUCAUGCCAAUGGCACUGCCCGGUAGCUAAAUGCGGAAGAGAUAAGUGCUGAAAGCAUCUAAGCACGAAACUUGCCCCGAGAUGAGUUCUCCCUGACUCCUUGAGAGUCCUGAAGGAACGUUGAAGACGACGACGUUGAUAGGCCGGGUGUGUAAGCGCAGCGAUGCGUUGAGCUAACCGGUACUAAUGAACCGUGAGGCUUAACCUU